RNAcentral lists this unclassified non-coding RNA (336 nucleotides) under soil metagenome. RNAcentral's name for it is "partial contains 5.8S ribosomal RNA, internal transcribed spacer 2, and large subunit ribosomal RNA". The stretch from base 1 to 120 matches the Rfam family "5.8S ribosomal RNA", at positions 35 to 154 of the family's 154-position model. The record is from RNAcentral.
GAUGAAGAACGUAGCGAAAUGCGAUAAGUAAUGUGAAUUGCAGAAUUCAGUGAAUCAUCGAAUCUUUGAACGCACAUUGCGCCCGCCAGUAUUCUGGCGGGCAUGCCUGUUCGAGCGUCAUUUCAACCAUCAAGCCCCCGGGCUUGUGUUGGGGACCUGCGGCUGCCGCAGGCCCUGAAAAGCAGUGGCGGGCUCGCUGUCACACCGAGCGUAGUAGCAUACAUCUCGCUCUGGGCGUGCUGCGGGUUCCGGCCGUUAAACCACCUUUUAACCCAAGGUUGACCUCGGAUCAGGUAGGAAGACCCGAUGAACUUAAGCAUAUCAAUAAGCGGAGGA